Molecule: ribosomal RNA, 2828 nt
Filed under: Bacteroidota bacterium
Lineage: Bacteria; Pseudomonadati; Bacteroidota
Description: Bacteroidetes bacterium 23S ribosomal RNA
Rfam family: Bacterial large subunit ribosomal RNA
Source: RNAcentral
AAGAAAGUGAAUAAGGGCGUACGGUGGAUGCCUAGGCUCUCAGAGGCGAAGAAGGACGUGAUAAGCUGCGAUAAGCUACGGUGAGGUGCAAAUAACCGUUAAUCCGUAGAUUUCCGAAUGGGGCAACCCUUCCGGCUGAAGGCCGGAAACUCCGAGUAAUCGGAGGGCGAACCCGCUGAACUGAAACAUCUAAGUAGGCGGAGGAGAAGAAAACAAGAGUGAUUCCCUGAGUAGUGGCGAGCGAAAGGGGAACAGCCCAAACCAUGUUAGUUUAGGCUAAUGUGGGGUUGUAGGACUACGACAUAUUGUAUAUAUAAGAAGUGGAAGCUAACUGGAAAGUUACACCAAAGGGGGUGAGAGUCCUGUACACGUAUUUAUAUAUAUGAUUAGUAGUAUCCUGAGUAAGGCGGGACACGUGAAAUCCUGUCUGAAACUGCGAGGACCAUCUCGUAAGGCUAAAUACUCCUGAGAGACCGAUAGUGAACCAGUACCGUGAGGGAAAGGUGAAAAGCACCCCGAACAGGGGAGUGAAAUAGUUCCUGAAACCGUGCGCUUACAAACGGUUGGAGUCACGCCAAUGGCGUGAUGACAGCGUGCCUUUUGCAUAAUGAGCCUACGAGUUGCUCCUCACUAGCGAGGUUAAGGUUUUAAGAACCGGAGCCGAAGCGAAAGCGAGUCUGAAUAGGGCGCUAGAGUUAGUGGGGGCAGACGCGAAACCUUGUGAUCUACCCAUGGCCAGGUUGAAGUUCAGGUAACACUGAAUGGAGGACCGAACCAGUAAACGUUGAAAAGUUUUUGGAUGAGCUGUGGGUAGGGGUGAAAGGCCAAUCAAACUGGGAAAUAGCUCGUACUCCCCGAAAUGCAUUUAGGUGCAGCCUCGUGUUAGUGUCAUAGAGGUAGAGCUACUGAUAAGGCUAGAGGGCUUCACCGCCUAUCAACCCUUGACAAACUCCGAAUGCUAUGACAUGAUUCACGGGAGUGAGGCUACGGGUGCUAAGGUCCGUGGCCGAAAGGGAAAGAACCCAGACCAUCAGCUAAGGUCCCCAAAUGUAUGCUAAGUUGAAGAAACGUGGUCCGACUGCAGAGACAGCUAGGAUGUUGGCUUGGAAGCAGCCAUUCAUUUAAAGAGUGCGUAACAGCUCACUAGUCGAGCGGUUGGGCGUGGAUAAUAAUCGGGCAUCAAGCAUACUACCGAAGCUAUGGAUUUCAUAGAAAUAUGGACUGGUAGGGGAGCAUUCCAGUGCCGCAGAAGCAGUAUCGUGAGGUAUUGUGGAGGAGCUGGAAAAGCAAAUGUAGGCAUAAGUAACGAUAAAACAGGUGAGAAACCUGUUCGCCGUAAGACUAAGGUUUCCUGAUCAACGUUAAUCGGAUCAGGGUUAGCCGGGGCCUAAGGUGUACCCGAAUGGGGAAACUAAUGGACAGCAGGUUAAUAUUCCUGCGCUUGCAUAACACUAAAAAGUGACGGAGUGAUGUAGCUGCUAGGUGCUGACGGAAUAGCACCUUGAGCCUAGCCUUCGGGCGAAGCGAAGCAGUGAGUUUGCUUCCAAGAAAAGCGAAGUUAUGCAACUCGUACCGUAAACCGACACAGGUAGUCGAGGAGAGCAUCCUCAGGCGCUCGAGUGAAUCAUGGCUAAGGAACUAGGCAAAAUCGACCUGUAACUUAGGGAGAAAGGUCUCCCGAUGCAAAUCGGGACGCAGUUAAAAGGCCCAGGCGACUGUUUAACAAAAACACAGGACUCUGCAAAUUCGAAAGAAGAAGUAUAGGGUCUGACACCUGCCCGGUGCCGGAAGGUUAAGAGGGGAUGUCAUCACGCUUCGGUGUGAGAAGCAUUGAAUUGAAGCCCCGGUAAACGGCGGCCGUAACUAUAACGGUCCUAAGGUAGCGAAAUUCCUUGUCGGGUAAGUUCCGACCUGCACGAAUGGUGUAACGAUCUGGGCACUGUCUCGGCCAUGAGCUCGGUGAAAUUGUAGUUCCGGUGAAGAUGCCGGGUACCCGCAACGGGACGGAAAGACCCCGUGAACCUUUACUAUAGCUUAACAUUGAUUUUGGGUAUGUGAUGUGUAGGAUAGGACGGAGACUAUGAAGCGGCCUCGCUAGGGGUUGUGGAGUCACCCUUGAAAUACGUCCCUUUACCUAUCUGGAGUCUAACCACGCCAACGGCGUGGGACAUUGUUUGGUGGGUAGUUUGACUGGGGUGGUCGCCUCCAAAAGCGUAACGGAGGCUUCCAAAGGUACCCUCAUGACGAAUGGUAACCGUCAGAAGAGUGCAUUGGCACAAGGGUGCUUGACUGUGAGACCGACAAGUCGAUCAGGUAGGAAACUAGGGCAAAGUGAUCCGGUGGUUCCGUAUGGAAGGGCCAUCGCUCAAAGGAUAAAAGGUACUCCGGGGAUAACAGGCUGAUCGCUCCCAAGAGCUCAUAUCGACGGAGCGGUUUGGCACCUCGAUGUCGGCUCGUCACAUCCUGGGGCUGGAGAAGGUCCCAAGGGUUGGGCUGUUCGCCCAUUAAAGUGGCACGCGAGCUGGGUUCAGAACGUCGUGAGACAGUUCGGUCCCUAUCUGUUGUGGGCGUUGGAGAUUUGAGAGGACCUGACACUAGUACGAGAGGACCGUGUUGGACAGACCUCUAGUGCACCUGUUGUGGCGCCAGCUGCAGAGCAGGGUAGCUAUGUCUGGCAGAGAUAAGCGCUGAAAGCAUCUAAGCGCGAAGCUCCCCUCAAGAUGAGAUCUCCCUUAAGGGUCGUUGGAGACUACGACGUUGAUAGGCUGUAGGUGUAAAGGCGGUAACGUCAAAGCCGAGCAGUACUAAUUACCCGUGAGCUUUCAUUA